UACCAGAGAUGGUUUGGUGCUCGAAAGAGAGCCUGGACACAGGUGCUGCAUGGCUGUCGUCAGCUCGUGUCGUGAGAUGUUGGGUUAAGUCCCGCAACGAGCGCAACCCUUGUCAUUAGUUGCUACGCAAGAGCACUCUAAUGAGACCGCCGGUGACAAACCGGAGGAAGGUGGGGAUGACGUCAAGUCCUCAUGGCCCUUAUGGGUAGGGCUACACACGUCAUACAAUGGGCGGUACAGAGGGUUGCCAACCCGCGAGGGGGAGCCAAUCCCUUAAAACCGCUCGUAGUCCGGAUUGUAGUCUGCAACUCGACUGCAUGAAGUCGGAAUCGCUAGUAAUCGCGGAUCAGCUUGCCGCGGUGAAUACGUUCCCGGGUCUUGUACACACCGCCCGUCACACCAUGGAAGUGGGGUUUACCAGAAGUAGUUAGCUUAACCGCAAGGAGGGCGAUUACCACGGUAGGCUUCAUGACUGGGGUGAAGUCGUAACAAGGUAGCCGUAUCGGAAGGUGC
RNAcentral lists this ribosomal RNA (513 nucleotides) under uncultured Pseudomonadota bacterium. Its description in RNAcentral is "bacterial SSU rRNA". It matches the Rfam family "Bacterial small subunit ribosomal RNA", at positions 998 to 1515 of the family's 1533-position model. The record is from RNAcentral. Lineage: Bacteria; Pseudomonadati; Pseudomonadota.